Molecule: long non-coding RNA, 452 nt
Filed under: Zonotrichia albicollis (white-throated sparrow)
Lineage: Eukaryota; Metazoa; Chordata; Aves; Passeriformes; Passerellidae
Description: lncRNA (ENSZALG00000009551.1)
Source: RNAcentral
CUGCAUUUCAACAAAGGUGGAUAAGCAGAAAAGGCAAAACAGCCUUGAGGAGGGGAAGCUGAGGCAGACUGGAUGCUCAGACACCAAGAUUUUGACAAAUCUUAGAGUCUGGAUGCCUGGGUGGGGAAAAGUUGUGGUGGUGCUGCUGAUGGAGCUGCAGUAGCACGGAUCAGCAGAGGACCCAACCCAUGCAGAGCAGCAGGAACAUCAGUUCCUCCUGUUUCCUUGUGAAAACUGGUGUGAUUCCUCUUGCUGAUGAAGUGGCAAACCCGUCUUCCAGGAUUCCAGCUGGCAUGGUUUGCCUUCACAUGUUUGUGAACACAAAUGAAUUUAGCACCGAGGGACUUGGACACAGACAACGUUUCACCAGCUUAAAGAUUUAGAUGUCCAGUGAAAGCUAAGCUCAGCCUUUGGCCCCUUCCUAGAGAGCGUGGGAUAAACUGCCAGCUGGG